CCUAGCCCUUGUGGAGCUGUGGAAUAUCUAAAAUUAUGGGAAUUCCAGCUCUUGGCAAUGUAAGUGCACAUGUACCCUCUAUAAGAAACAGGGAUUGUUCACUAAUUCGACAAACCCGCAAACUGAGCUAUGAAAAGUGUCAUUCUGAAUGCUGCUAUAGUGACAGUGCACUCAUACAUUAUUAUUGUUGUUGUUGUAACAGUUCGAUGGUAGUUAAUAGAUACCUGCAAAGUAAGUAAACACCUUACCUCCUCCUCCCUGUGCCACCUAUAUUUUCAAUGAUUACACAGGUGGGAGACCUCAAGAGGUUUCUUUGACCCACUUCCUUCUUGUAUAAUGUGGUAAAUAAGAGACAUGGAGGAACAAUCUACUAAUGAUUCCCAGAACAGUAUUUAGUGUAUUGGGAACACUCCCAGCUGAGAGGAAUUUCCCUUCAGUAAACAACACAUUUUGAUGAAUUGAAAUCCAAACUGAAAAAUUCAACAGCUCAGCUAUGUUCUCC
Pelobates cultripes (western spadefoot toad) is the source of this 502-nucleotide non-coding RNA. The record is from the annotation of a GenBank genome assembly. Lineage: Eukaryota; Metazoa; Chordata; Amphibia; Anura; Pelobatidae.